Long non-coding RNA from Schistocerca gregaria, 1214 nucleotides. RefSeq lists it as uncharacterized. The transcript has 6 exons. The record is from RefSeq and is a predicted model, not a curated record. NCBI's taxonomy places the organism in Eukaryota, Metazoa, Arthropoda, Insecta, Orthoptera, Acrididae.
CGGGUACUUUUGAUCACAUAGUGUAGGUGUCUGGGUACUUUUGAUCACAUAGUGUAGGUGUGCAGGUACUUUUGAUCACAUAUUGUAGGUGUCUGGGUACUUUUGAUCACAUAGUGUAGGUGUGCAAGUACUUUUGAUCACAUAGUGUAGGUGUCCGGGUACUUUUGAUCACACAGUGUAGGUGUCCGGGUACUUUUGAUCACAUAGUGUAGGUGUGCAGGCACUUUUGAUCACAUAGUGUAGGUGUCCGGGUACUUUUGAUCACAUAGUGUAGGUGUCUGGGUACUUUUGAUCACAUAGUGUAGGUGUCCGGGUACUUUUGAUCACAUAGUGUAGGUGUCUGGGUACUUUUGAUCACAUAGUGUAGGUGUGCAGGUACUUUUGAUCACAUAUUGUAGGUGUCUGGGUACUUUUGAUCACAUAGUGUAGGUGUGCAAGUACUUUUGAUCACAUAGUGUAGGUGUCCGGGUACUUUUGAUCACACAGUGUAGGUGUCCGGGUACUUUUGAUCACAUAGUGUAGGUGUGCAGGCACUUUUGAUCACAUAGUGUAGGUGUCCGGGUACUUUUGAUCACAUAGUGUAGGUGUCUGGGUACUUUUGAUCACAUAGUGUAGGUGUGCAGGUACUUUUGAUCACAUAGUGUAGGUGUCCGGGUACUUUUGAUCACAUAGUGUUGGUGUCCAGGUACUUUUGAUCAUGUAGGUGUCCGGGUACUUUUGAUCACACAGUGUACGUGUCCAGGUACUUUUGAUCACAUAGUGUAGGUGUCCGGGUACUUUUGAUCACACAGUGUAGGUGUCCGGGUACUUUUGAUCACAUAGUGUAGGUGUGCAGGCACUUUUGAUCACAUAGUGUAGGUGUCCGGGUACUUUUGAUCACAUAGUGUAGGUGUCUGGGUACUUUUGAUCACAUAGUGUAGGUGUGCAGGUACUUUUGAUCACAUAGUGUAGGUGUCUGGGUACUUUUGAUCACAUAGUGUAGGUGUGCAGGUACUUUUGAUCACAUAGUGUACGUGUCCGGGCACUUUUGAUCAAACUGUAUGAGAACACGGACAGACCCUGCAGAGUAAGCGAUAGCACAGUGCUGGCCGCGGCGUCGCACAGCAACUGCAAACACGCGCUCUCACGCGCCUCGAGCCUGCGCCGAGCGCUGCAAACAGUUAACAAAGCCCAGCCUGGCUGGGUAAGCACAGGCCCCGCCCCGCCGCGCUUUA